UAGGGAAUCUUCCGCAAUGGACGCAAGUCUGACGGAGCAACGCCGCGUGAGUGAAGAAGGAUUUCGGUUCGUAAAACUCUGUUGUUAGAGAAGAACAGCGCAUAGAGUAACUGUUAUGCGUGUGACGGUAUCUAACCAGAAAGCCACGGCUAACUACGUGCCAGCAGCCGCGGUAAUACGUAGGUGGCAAGCGUUGUCCGGAUUUAUUGGGGGUAAAGCGAGCGCAGGCGGUCAAUUAAGUCUGAUGUGAAAGCCCCCGGCUCAACCGGGGAGGGUCAGUGGAAACUGGUUGACUUGAGUGCAGAAGGGGGGAGUGGAAUUCCAGGUGUAGCGGUGAAAUGCGUAGAUAUAUGGGGGAACACCAGUGGCGAAGGCGACUCUCUGGUCUGUAACUGACGCUGAGGCUCGAAAGCGUGGGUAGCAAACAGG
This 429-nucleotide ribosomal RNA is filed under the name Bacteroidota bacterium. RNAcentral's name for it is "Bacteroidetes bacterium partial 16S ribosomal RNA". It matches the Rfam family "Bacterial small subunit ribosomal RNA", at positions 355 to 776 of the family's 1533-position model. The record is from RNAcentral. Lineage: Bacteria; Pseudomonadati; Bacteroidota.